This 6271-nucleotide small RNA is filed under the name Histoplasma capsulatum. RNAcentral describes it as "hypothetical RNA". Lineage: Eukaryota; Fungi; Ascomycota; Eurotiomycetes; Onygenales; Ajellomycetaceae. RNAcentral also lists the same sequence under 1 other name. The record is from RNAcentral.
GUAUAUGGCGUUGAUUUAAAAUUUAAACGUAAUGGAGGACUCCCGACAACGGGCCUUUUCAAAGCUCCGCCCUCCUUGCGUUGAGCUAAGUUCUGUUGGGCUUAAAUUCAGAGGCGACCUCGCAACCUCCAAGGAUGUGUUACGGGCCUUGGAACCUUUGCAUACUAUGCUCCUGGAGGUUGCGAGUGAAUAUGGUCUCGAUGAAAAACUUGCCGAAUACGCAUUCUUCCCACUAUCGCACAUCUUCAAUGAAACCCAAAGGGUUUCUGUUCGCUGCUUGGAACUGGCGUUGCGGUGUCUACAGAUUCUUAUCGAGAAAGGAUGGCGCCAAAACCUCUCCGUGAAAAUGGGAAAGCAGCUGCUUAUCCUUCUCACCAUCAUUGCUGGUGGACCUCCCACCCAAAUUAAAGAUUGCAACCAGAGAAAGCCAGAAUCGGAAGAAUUAACAGUUGCCGCAUUUGAUUGCAUUGCAACCGUAUGUCAGGUCCUUGUAGGACCUACAGCUGCAGCAGAGAUAUUUAAUGAAAUCGGGACAUCCACUAUUGUUGAUCAAACUGUCUACCUCUUACUGGAAGGUAUUACGGAUGGUACUUCAGACCAGGUCCAACUGGCUGCAGCUCGUGCUCUGCGGACCCUGACCGCUCGCGUAACUCAUCGUGUGAUACUAGCAAGCCUUUUACCCAGAAGUGUUUCUGCCUUGACUAAAGCACUACAGCCGACCACACAAAUGCGACGAUCAUACCAAGUGCUGUGUUGCUGCAUACAAGCCCUCACAGAAAUGUUGAAGGCCGUGCUUAAUGAUACCGAUGUUUCGGCCCCGACGCCCCAGAAAACUGAUGCUAAAACCCAACCGGGAGGGAAUACUCUUGUUCUUGAUGACUCAUGGCUCAACGCGACAGCUUCCCAGGUAAAGCUUGCGUUGGGAAACGUUAUUCAGUUGAGAACACAUGACAGACAUGAUGUUCGCCACAGUUUGCUUGAAUUAUGCCUUAUGGUUAUUGAACAAUGUCCGAAAUCUCUUGGGGACUCACUUUCAAUGAUGGUGGAAACUGUGGUUGUUCUCGCUGAAUAUGAUACAGACAAGCCGGCAAACGAUGCUUACGUCGCCCUAAAACAUCUGACCAUUUCAUCUAACCGCGUGCUGGACCUUCUCAAGUCUAACAUGUACACAUGGACUAUAGCAUUACCAAGAAUGAUGCAAUCGAAUAAUGAUGCAGCAAAACAAAGAGCAAUUAGACAAAUAUCGACUGCGUUCCAAGUCUUAUCGCAGACUCAGCCAAGCUUAAAUAUCUUGGAUGACACUUUAGCCACAAGUUUAUGCGAGAGUGUCUCCAUGGCUAUGCGAUCGACGUCAACAGCGCCCCAGCCUCUACCAAGUUUUGCUGCCACAGGAUCGGAGCUCCGUAUUGUGGAUGGUGAGCGCCAGUCGAUAUCUUUUCAACCCGUGCUACUAGACCACCGUAGCCACCGAAGAACACUCUCAGAGCUCCAAUUUAUGAUUUCGAAACUUAGCGCCACGGACACAUCUCUCUCGAUGGCGAGUUCGAUGUUAAAGAAAAUCUAUGGGUCGUCGGGUGAUGACCUCCUAGCUCCCUUUUGGCUUACCUUAUCAUUAAUAAAAAGUGUUCCAGCGGAUCUAGCGUCAAUGGAUGACAUGAUUGAUCUGGAUUCUGACUCUCCUUCUCGUUCCGCUAUUAUCGAGGAGUUAUACUCAAUCUCGCUCCCACUUCUCACGGAUUUGUCGACUGCCAAUCCACACGAUUGGCGGCUGCCUGCGUUAGCUCUUGAGGCUAUAGCACUCCAAGCGCAGCAGUUAGGUGAAACCUUUCGUCCCGAAUUAAUUGACACCUUAUACCCUGUGCUGCAAUUGAUGGGCUCUAGCAACCCCAACAUACAGAAUCAUGCUGUUACAUGCCUUGAUAUCCUUACUGCUGCUUGCAGAUAUCCAAACACAAGCUCUAUGCUCGUUGAUAAUGUUGACUACCUAGUGAAUUCCGUGUCUUUGAAGCUUAACACUUUUGACAUAUCACCCCAAGCCCCGCAGGUGCUACUCAUGAUGACGAGGUUAUGUGGGGCAUCGCUUAUCCCAUAUCUGGAUGACCUGAUUGGAUCGAUAUUUACAGUGUUGGAUGCUUUCCACGGCUACCCUAAACUGGUGGAGCUUCUGUUUUCUGUUUUAGGAGCUAUUGUGGACGAAGGGGCAAAGAAACCAGCACAACUAGCUAUCACAGGCUCAGAUACCAAUGAACCCGUCAAUCACCAGAAAAGACCUCUCAAAUCCCGUAGAAUUUCAGACAUCGCGAAUGAAUUUCAAAAGCGAAGGGAGAAGCGAGCUCGGGCCUCUGAACUCGAAGCCGGUGACAGUUUGGAAAAAGAAUCUCACCCUAGACGUCCAUGGGCUUCCGAGCGCGAUGGGCUCAGACUCAUGGAUGAGGAUGAAAGUGAUAUAGGCUCAGAAUCAGAGGGACUGCCACCACCUACCACAGAAGAAAAGACUCUAAGCAGAUCUCACACUUUGCUCCUUAAUAUUGCCAAAUCCAUUCCACCCCAUCUCUCCUCACCAUCGCCGUUCCUACGACGCUCAUUACUUACCAUCUUGACCCGUGCACUACCCAUCCUCGCGCAUGAUGAAGACACCUUUUUACCCCUAAUUAACGACCUCUGGCCUUCCGUUAGCGCACGAAUUACCACGCCACAGACUCUCUCACCAAACUCGGUCGCACUUACAACACCCCACACAGGCCCCGCACAAACCCGCAACUCCCCAACCAGCAUCGACGAAUCCGGCAUCCAGGAAGAAGCAUUCGUAAUCUCUGCGUCGUGCUCCGCAAUCGGCGCCAUGUGCGAAGGCGCGGGGGACUUCAUGGCAUCUCGCAUUGAGCAUGAAUUCCCUCGGUGGAAGAAACUGUAUCUCCGCGCAUGGGAGCGAGUACGGCAGGACUCAGAAAGGGCGGCGGAGAGGCAGCGACAGAGGAUAGAGCAGCAGGAACGUCUUAGUUUACGCACCGUCUCGGGGAUGGAGUCGCUAACCCCUGACACUGACAGCAAAACCAAAAUUCCCGAUUCCACAACAUCAGUGACUGCACGAUCUAAGCCUCCACCACCGCCAACACCACCACCACCGCCACCACCACCGAGCACAAAGUCAUUCACCCCUCACAACUCCCUAUUCCAGGCCCUGACACGCAUGUUUACCACCAUUCUCCACAGCGUAUAUCUAUCAGCCGACAUCAGAGACGAAAUUUUUGAGUGUCUCGGUACGGCGAUAUCUUUCUUUCAGCCCGAUUAUUACUUCACGUAUGCAUGGCGCGAGCACACAGAAUCCAACGACGAGAAGCAGAUCGGUAAAACAGCAGGAGAGCCAAGAGCGGAAGCGACGUCAAGAACGGGAAAUAGAACGGGAACAGAAGAAUUUGCCCAGGCGAUUCAAGCGAUGCAUGUGCUAAAUGCGGAUUUGACAUGGUUUAUAUUUGAGAAAGGGAGGAGACAGAGCAGGGGCGGUAUCGAUGACGGGAACGGUGAUGCAGUUGAUAGGCUGGCACGGGUGGGGCGAAAUAUUGAGAGGAGGAUUGCGGAUAUGUUGAGGAGCCAGCUACAUUCGCAGUCGGAUUCACCAACGCAGGGAGAGCUUCGUUCAGCAGGAAGCAGGGGGUCGUGGAAGUUGGCGGAGGUGAUUGGAGCGUUUUAAUGACAUAGGGAAUGAAACAUUAUUUAUGCCAGUUGUUUAACGUAUUUUGGCUCGUACUACACACCAUGCUUUGACUACUUUUCGAAGAAAUUAUUUACUACGAAUACCAGUACAAUCCCUCGUGACCUAUGACCUGUUCUUAUUUACAACUUUUCGGGGUGGUAUGUCGGUUAUCAAUAACAGAACAGUUUGGGGGAUAGUAUGUUGAGAGUAAUAUACAAUGAACACUUUAAUAAUUCCUCUUGCAUAUGUUAUUCAGCUACACCUAUAAUAAACGAAUGGAGGAGUGGAGUUGGACUGUUCAAAACGCAAGCAACGAAAUCAUUCAUCCAAAGAGACCAAAAAUGAAAGAAAGAAACGAUAAGGGGACAUGGGGUUCAGUUGAAUUUUAUUCUCGUCGAGGGACGUAGAGUGGAGCUUGUGAAUAAGAUCGGUAAUUGAUACAAUUGACCAAAUAAAACGAAACUAACGGGAAGCAAGGCAAGGGAAAAAUCGAAACGAGUUAAAGCGAUGGAAUAAAGGCCCCGAAAAAAAGAAUGUUGCAGGAUGGGCAAUUGCCCUCGGGAGAUGUUGCCAGCAGGAGUUUAAUCCUCAUCAUCAUCCUCAUCGCUCUCGGCAGUCUCAAGCCAUUCGAUAAACUUCUCAGCAGCCUUGCGGACCUUCCUACUGGUGGCGAUGUCGACGUAUUUCUUGCUGGCCUUCGAGCCCCAGGCCUUGAGGACUUCUUCCGAAAUCAGAUCCUCCUGGUAAUAAGCGAGCAGGAUGGCUGGGACACUUGGGCAGAGAUUGGGACGUUCAAUUCCAACUAAACGUUCGGUUCCUCCAAGGAAUGCCUUUUCGUGGCGCUCAGAAGUGAUCAUCUUCUUGAGCAUGCCAGCUCUGGAUGGAAUUUGCUUAACAAUUUUGUCGUCGAACAUGGUCUGAGCCAAGACGGCGAGGGUCUUGUGCUUCGACUCAAUUCCCAGUUCCUUGGCCUUCAUAUAGAUGUCAAUGUCACUGAUGCUUGAGACACCUUCCUCAGAACCCUUGGCAGAGCUUAUAAUCCAGCUACCGAGAAGAUCGUAGGCGGAGGCCGACCCAUUUUCCCCUUCACCAUCAUCAUCAUCAUCAAUGACGAGAGAACGUUUAACAUCGUCGGGGAGUUCCUGAGCACGAGCCUUGACAGCUUCCUCGGAAACAUCAACCGCCCAGUCGUCGUCGUCGAUUUCUUGGGACUGCUCGAUUUCUUCCGCCUCAGCUUUAAUGCGACGAGUAAGCUCAUCAUCACUAUGGGCGUCGAGAGCACCAUCGCCGUUUUCAUCUCCUCCAUCGGAGUUGCUAUCUACCGGGCUACCAUUUGACUCUCCGUUUGCCUCUCCAUUCGUCUCUCCGUCACCCUUGCCCUUGUUUCUUUCGCGCCGAGACUUCUUGGUGGACUUGUCCUUCUUUCCCUUCUUUGGCUGGUUCUUCAAAAUGAAACUGCUGAGCUUUUGACGAAGGUCAACAUCGGACCGUUCACCACAGGCUUUGCAGUCCAGGAUAAUGCGGGGUUCUUUGACGACAACCUCAGUUUCUGGGUUCUUGCACUUCUUGCACAAAACGAAUUUUACGAUAAACCCGUCAAGGUAGUCCUGAAGUUUGGAAGCGUCGUGGGCGCCGUUGAUAAUCCAGCGAUCAUCUGUCGGCUUAGCGUUUGCUUGAGCCCCGAGUUCAAAUCCGAAGUACUUGAUCAAGUAGGCUGGUGGGCGACCCAAAGACUGGGCAACAUUGUUGAGAUUAACAACAACAGUUUUGAUGCCAUUGCCUUUGCCUUCGAUCUUUGCCUGGAGGCGUUCCAUUUUGUAACGGUAAAAGGGAUCAGGGUUGUCCCGACGGAUGUUGACGGUAGUAGCCAUUGUCACGGUAAGAAGAGAGACGAAAUUUUGGAAUUCUUUAAAAGGCUACGAAGAGGAGAGAUAUAGGACGAAACGCGGAGAGGGGCUGGGGAAUGGAGUUUCGAUUGCUACAAGACAUGCGUAUCACGAAUUUACCCGUGAUAUCUUGAGUAGGAUAGUGAAAGCGGAAAUUUCUGCGGCUCGGCUGCGAUAUGGAAGGGUUGAAAGCGUAGGUGAACUCAGAGCAAGUGAAUCUCAGCCACAAGAUCUGGAAUGGUAACUACAAGGUUUUCGCACAGGGCGAAACGUUUGCAGCUUGAGCGGCAGGUGGUGUUCGAAAGCGUUGACGUAGGGCGAAUACAUAGACAGGUGCUCUAUCUUGCUUGGUGGCAGAAGGCUUGGGGAACCUGAUGGGGAACGUGGGUUGAGCCGAGACAACGAGAUAUCUCAGUGAGCACAGAAUGGCAGCGCGUUGGGGGUAGCACCGAUCAGAUCAAGUGGGAAACAAUAUCAGAAUGCCCAGCUAAGGGAUAAGAUAGAACAAUCUGGAUAAGCCGGUGUGGUGAUGGCGAUGGCUGAAGGAGGUUGGCGAGGUUGUGGAUGAGCGGAAAAGAAAGAUUUUAGUGUUGGAGGAGAGCAAGGGUGGGCGGUGUCCGAAUCCAGAAAUUUGAUGGGCGGCAGAAUGUGAUUUAGGGAGUUGACUAAUCGUGAGAUGGGAUAGAUCACGUGG